This is a non-coding RNA of Styela clava, 1199 nucleotides long. Lineage: Eukaryota; Metazoa; Chordata; Ascidiacea; Stolidobranchia; Styelidae. The record is from RefSeq and is a predicted model, not a curated record.
ACGCGUAUUUGAAUCAGGGACAUUGAGGAUAUGGCAGCGUGUUGCGGUCGGUUUUGGCUAGACCUCAGUCAGUUGGUCAGCCUUUUUGUAGCCAUUUGAGUAGUGUUUUUAUACAUGAGGCAGAGUAUAGUACUUUACUGCAAUUUCGUACGUUUCAUGCUUUAAAUUUAUUUGUUUUAUUGUGCUAUUUUAUGGUUUCUUGACUUAAGGUUUACAAUAGUACUAUUCGUAUUUGGCCGAAAUAAUCUUAUCCUCUAAAAAAGUAUCGCACCUACAACAAUUUUGUGCCCCAUUAGUUAACUCGGUCUGGAACGAAUCGUACUACAGUAGACGACAUUUAAUGUUUUGUGGAGUGAUUUUGAAGUGGUAUGUUAUUAUAUAUAUUGUGUCUAUUGCUGCAUUUGUUGUUUUCUGCUACGUUUCGUUAUUGUUCAAACAAACGCUCAAGAUUUGAUUUUUCGGGUCAAACCAAGAGAUCUCGGGAUUCAUGUUCAUGUCCGACGUAUUUUGUUUUUUGACUUGGCGAAUGCAAUUUGUGAUUGGAGGCGAUGUCGAGUUAAAAGAGCUUAGCAGAUCGAAGAGUUCGGCUAUUGAUAUUCUCUACUCUGUUUCUUUUUUUUUUUUUCAAAAUUACCGCUCAAGAGCAAAUUAUGAGUAAGCUGAUUUCAUCGCCAUAUGGCCUCAACUAAUGCGAAUCAAACAUGAAUUUGCAUGACUAUGCUGACGUCAUCCGUAUGUAGUGUUCGCAAAAUUUCUGUUGUCCAGUGAAGUUGUCGCAACGCUGGAUAAAAACGUCAGAAUAAGGGUCAUCAACAGUGUCAAACAACUGAAGAUCAAGAGAGUUUUUAUUACAAUAUUUUGUAUUAGUUAUUCAAUUGUUCAAACCGUUUUUGUGUAAUCUUUAUUUUUUUGGCAUAUUUCCUAUACGUGAUCAGCGUGUAAAUCUUGUUUUUGCGAUCUUAUAUAUUCUGCAUAUAUAUAGCAUAAUUUUGAGUCUAUUUCAACUCUUUUGAUAUUUGAUUUUUCUUUUAGUCUCUUGAAUAGUUUUUGUGUUUGACAUUUUCUGACAUCUUAUGCACGUGAUCAACAUUAUAAAUAAUAUUUAAUAUAUUUCAUAUCCUGCGGAUCAGAUUUUUUCAAGCCUAUGUCGCUGUGAUUCAAUGAAUUUUGUGUCAAUAAAAUCUGGCAACUGCACUUGA